UGAUGUCACUGGCAGGAUACGCGUUAUAAUUGAACACUGCUUGACAUAAGGUAGCCUACAGCUCACACACAGCAGCGGAGACAGAGACAGAUAGCAGCUGGGUGAUUUCAGCUUCAGCGGUGGAAGAAAAAACUCUUUUUUUGACCAACAAAUAUCAGCGGAUUUCUCUUGGGCUGCCGUUUUUGCUGUUGGAAACACCUCAACCUACACAGCUACGCGAGAGAAAGAAAGAUAGACACUGCAAAACAGCCGAGCAUCUGCUAAUCGUCGAUUACCACGGGAGCCAUGGUGGCAGCAGUCCUUAAGUUAUAUUUUAUUGGAACUGCGCUGAGCAUCCUUGCAGUCAUUUUUGGAAUAGUAGACUCCUUUGGUGGUUUGAUGUACACCCAGGACCAUCACUACAUUUUGGACUUGGACCAACAGACACAGAGGCAGCUGUCCUCGAGCAACCACCAGAGAGGAUCGCUCGUGACUAAAAACAUUGGCUCUUGAGGGAGACAUCUGGCAUGAUUUACAAGAAAUGGCAGCUGGAUGGGCAUGCUGGCUACUGUGGCAAUGGAUCAAUAGACAGUGAGACUACGUUUCUAAUCACUGGAGAUAACAAUUAUCCGUAUUGUUCUAUGGCUUAGUAUGGACAUCAAUGUAAUGAUCCGGAUUGUUCUAUUGCUGAGUAUGAACAUCAAUGUAAUGUCUAACUUGCUAUGCGUUCUGCGUUAGUUUGUUGAUAUGGAUGGAUAAUCCCACAGCAUGUGUUUGUGUUUGCUGUACUAUGUAUGCUUUUAAACACUGUAUCAGCUAGGAUGUGUUAAAGCAACUCAAAAUUGGAUGAGAACUGUAACAUCACUACUGAACAAUAAUUUGCACUAAAAUGAGAAUGUUUUGACUUUGCGACGUGUGUAUUUUGAGGUUUUUAGUAUUCAAAUAAAAUGAAUUUUAAAAAGUGUUGCAAUGAGUAUGAACUGCUGCCUCUCUUAGCUACAGAAAAAAGUCAUGGGCUUCCUGUUUACUGAAGAGUUCGUUGGAAGCCAGGCUGACGAAUAAGUAUAAAAUGAGGUG
Molecule: long non-coding RNA, 1056 nt
Organism: Sander lucioperca (pikeperch)
Lineage: Eukaryota; Metazoa; Chordata; Actinopteri; Perciformes; Percidae
Exons: 2
Source: RefSeq, a predicted model, not a curated record